RNAcentral lists this ribosomal RNA (492 nucleotides) under uncultured bacterium. RNAcentral describes it as "partial 16S ribosomal RNA". It matches the Rfam family "Bacterial small subunit ribosomal RNA", at positions 29 to 507 of the family's 1533-position model. The record is from RNAcentral.
AGUGAACGUUGGCGGUAGGCCUAACACAUGCAAGUCGAACGGCAGCACAGUAAGAGCUUGCUCUUACGGGUGGCGAGUGGCGGACGGGUGAGGAAUACAUCGGAAUCUACUUUUUCGUGGGGGAUAACGUAGGGAAACUUACGCUAAUACCGCAUACGACCUACGGGUGAAAGCAGGGGAUCUUCGGACCUUGCGCGAUUGAAUGAGCCGAUGUCGGAUUAGCUAGUUGGCGGGGUAAAGGCCCACCAAGGCGACGAUCCGUAGCUGGUCUGAGAGGAUGAUCAGCCACACUGGAACUGAGACACGGUCCAGACUCCUACGGGAGGCAGCAGUGGGGAAUAUUGGACAAUGGGCGCAAGCCUGAUCCAGCCAUACCGCGUGGGUGAAGAAGGCCUUCGGGUUGUAAAGCCCUUUUGUUGGGAAAGAAAAGAAGCAGGUUAAUACCCCGCUGUUCUGACGGUACCCAAAGAAUAAGCACCGGCUAACUUCGUG